UACGGAGGGUGCAACCGUUGUUCGGAAUUACUGGGCGUAAAGGGCUCGUAGGCGGCCAACUAAGUCAGACGUGAAAUCCCUCGGCUUAACCGGGGAACUGCGUCUGAUACUGGAUGGCUUGAGGUUGGGAGAGGGAUGCGGAAUUCCAGGUGUAGCGGUGAAAUGCGUAGAUAUCUGGAGGAACACCGGUGGCGAAGGCGGCAUCCUGGACCAAUUCUGACGCUGAGGAGCGAAAGCCAGGGGAGCAAACGGG
RNAcentral lists this ribosomal RNA (253 nucleotides) under uncultured bacterium. RNAcentral describes it as "partial 16S ribosomal RNA". It matches the Rfam family "Bacterial small subunit ribosomal RNA", at positions 524 to 776 of the family's 1533-position model. The record is from RNAcentral.